Molecule: ribosomal RNA, 522 nt
Filed under: Fusarium avenaceum
Lineage: Eukaryota; Fungi; Ascomycota; Sordariomycetes; Hypocreales; Nectriaceae
Description: eukaryotic LSU rRNA
Rfam family: 5.8S ribosomal RNA (bases 182-335)
Source: RNAcentral
UCCGUAGUGAACAUGCGGAGGGAUCAUUACCGAAUUUACAACUCCCAAACCCCUGUGAACAUACCUUAAUGUUGCCUCGGCGGAUCAGCCCGCGCCCCGUAAAACGGGACAGGCCCGACCAGAGGACCCAAACUCUAAUGUUUCUUAUUGUAACUUCUGAGUAAAACAAACAAAUAAGUCAAACUUUCAACAACGGAUCUCUUGGUUCUGGCAUCGAUGAAGAACGCAGCAAAAUGCGAUAAGUAAUGUGAAUUGCGGAAUUCAGUGAAUCAUCGAAUCUUUGAACGCACAUUGCGCCCGCUGGUAUUCCGGCGGGCAUGCCUGUUCGAGCGUCAUUUCAACCCUCAAGCCCCCGGGUUUGGUGUUGGGGAUCGGCUCUGGCCUUCUGGGCGGUGCCGCCCCCGAAAUACAUUGGCGGUCUGGCUGCAGCCUCCAUUGCGUAGUAGCUAACACCUGGAGGCUUUUCGCGGCGCGGCCAUGCCGUAAAACCCCAACUUCUGAAUGUUGACCUCGGAUCAGGUA